CCCCGAAAAGACCGUCUCAGUUCGGAUCGCAGGCUGCAACCCGCCUGCGUGAAGUCGGAAUCGCUAGUAAUCGCGGAUCAGCAUGCCGCGGUGAAUACGUUCCCGGGCCUUGUACACACCGCCCGUCACACCAUGAGAGUCGGGAACACCCGAAGUCCGUAGCCUAACCGCAAGGGGGGCGCGGCCGAAGGUGGGUUCGAUAAUUGGGGUGAAGUCGUAACAAGGUAGC
This 229-nucleotide ribosomal RNA is filed under the name uncultured bacterium. Its description in RNAcentral is "partial 16S ribosomal RNA". It matches the Rfam family "Bacterial small subunit ribosomal RNA", at positions 1272 to 1500 of the family's 1533-position model. The record is from RNAcentral.